This 467-nucleotide ribosomal RNA is filed under the name uncultured bacterium. RNAcentral's name for it is "partial 16S ribosomal RNA". It matches the Rfam family "Bacterial small subunit ribosomal RNA", at positions 28 to 506 of the family's 1533-position model. The record is from RNAcentral.
GAUGAACGCUGGCGGCGUGCUUAACACAUGCAAGUCGAACGGUGAAGGCGGAGCUUGCUCUGCUGGAUCAGUGGCGAACGGGUGAGUAACACGUGAGCAAUCUGCCCCUGACUCUGGGAUAAGCGCUGGAAACGGCGUCUAAUACUGGAUACGAGCUGCGAAGGCAUCUUCAGCAGCUGGAAAGAAUUUCGGUCAGGGAUGAGCUCGCGGCCUAUCAGCUUGUUGGUGAGGUAAUGGCUCACCAAGGCGUCGACGGGUAGCCGGCCUGAGAGGGUGACCGGCCACACUGGGACUGAGACACGGCCCAGACUCCUACGGGAGGCAGCAGUGGGGAAUAUUGCACAAUGGGCGAAAGCCUGAUGCAGCAACGCCGCGUGAGGGACGACGGCCUUCGGGUUGUAAACCUCUUUUAGCAGGGAAGAAGCGAAAGUGACGGUACCUGCGGAAAAAGCGCCGGCUAACUACGU